GGCUGGUUAGCUCAGUUGGUUAGAGCUUAGUGCUAAUAAUGCUAAAGUCCUGGUUUCAAUCCCCAUACAGGCCA
Molecule: non-coding RNA, 74 nt
Organism: Dipodomys ordii (Ord's kangaroo rat)
Lineage: Eukaryota; Metazoa; Chordata; Mammalia; Rodentia; Heteromyidae
Source: Rfam